Molecule: ribosomal RNA, 119 nt
Organism: Gossypium raimondii (Peruvian cotton)
Lineage: Eukaryota; Viridiplantae; Streptophyta; Magnoliopsida; Malvales; Malvaceae
Source: Rfam
GGGUGCGAUCGUAACAGCAUUACUGCACCAGAUCUCAUCAGAACUCCACUGUUAAGCGUCCAUGGGCGACAGUAGUACUAGGAUGGGUGACCUCCUGGGAAGUCCUCGUGUUGCAACCC